Molecule: ribosomal RNA, 664 nt
Filed under: uncultured bacterium
Lineage: Bacteria
Description: bacterial SSU rRNA
Rfam family: Bacterial small subunit ribosomal RNA
Source: RNAcentral
UUGGGCGUAAGAGCUCGUAGGCGGUUUGUCGCGUCUAUCGUGAAAACCGGGAGCUUAACUCCUGGCUUGCGGUGGAUACGGGCAGACUUGAGUUCGGUAGGGGAGACUGGAAUUCCUGGUGUAGCGGUGAAAUGCGCAGAUAUCAGGAGGAACACCGGUGGCGAAGGCGGGUCUCUGGGCCGAUACUGACGCUGAGGAGCGAAAGCGUGGGGAGCGAACAGGAUUAGAUACCCUGGUAGUCCACGCCGUAAACGUUGGGCGCUAGGUGUGGGGAUGGGUUCCACUGUUUCCGUGCCGUAGCUAACGCAUUAAGCGCCCCGCCUGGGGAGUACGGCCGCAAGGCUAAAACUCAAAGGAAUUGACGGGGGCCCGCACAAGCGGCGGAGCAUGUGGAUUAAUUCGAUGCAACGCGAAGAACCUUACCUGGGUUUGACAUGCACUGGAUCGCCCCUGAGAGGGGGUUUCCCUUGUGGCUGGUGCACAGGUGGUGCAUGGCUGUCGUCAGUUCGUGUCGUGAGAUGUUGGGUUAAGUCCCGCAACGAGCGCAACCCUUGCCCUAUGUUGCCAGCGGGUGAUGCCGGGGACUCGUAGGGGACUGCCGGGGUCAACUCGGAGGAAGGUGGGGAUGACAUCAAGUCAUCAUGCCCCUUAUGCCCAGGGCUUC